Molecule: ribosomal RNA, 402 nt
Filed under: uncultured bacterium
Lineage: Bacteria
Description: partial 16S ribosomal RNA
Rfam family: Bacterial small subunit ribosomal RNA
Source: RNAcentral
UGGGGAAUAUUGCACAAUGGGCGCAAGCCUGAUGCAGCCAUGCCGCGUGUGUGAAGAAGGCCUCGGGUUGUAAAGCACUUUCAGCGAGGAGGAAGGUGGUGGACUUAAUACGUUCAUCAAUUGACGUUACUCGCAGAAGAAGCACCGGCUAACUCCGUGCCAGCAGCCGCGGUAAUACGGAGGGUGCAAGCGUUAAUCGGAAUUACUGGGCGUAAAGCGCACGCAGGCGGUUUGUUAAGUCAGAUGUGAAAUCCCCGGGCUCAACCUGGGAACUGCAUUUGAAAACUGGCAAGCUAGAGUCUCGUAGAGGGGGGUAGAAUUCCAGGCGUAGCGGUGAAAUGCGUAGAGAUCUGGAGGAAUACCGGUGGCGAAGGCGGCCCCCUGGACGAAGACUGACGCUCA